GAUGAACGCUGGCGGCGUGCCUAAUACAUGCAAGUAGAACGCUGAAGCUUGGUGCUUGCACCGAGCGGAUGAGUUGCGAACGGGUGAGUAACGCGUAGGUAACCUGCCUCUUAGCGGGGGAUAACUAUUGGAAACGAUAGCUAAUACCGCAUAAAAGUCGAUAUCGCAUGAUAUUGAUUUGAAAGGUGCAAUUGCAUCACUAAGAGAUGGACCUGCGUUGUAUUAGCUAGUUGGUGAGGUAACGGCUCACCAAGGCGACGAUACAUAGCCGACCUGAGAGGGUGAUCGGCCACACUGGGACUGAGACACGGCCCAGACUCCUACGGGAGGCAGCAGUAGGGAAUCUUCGGCAAUGGGGGCAACCCUGACCGAGCAACGCCGCGUGAGUGAAGAAGGUUUUCGGGUCGUAAAGCUCUGUUGUAAGAGAAGAACGAGUGUGAGAGUGGAAAGUUCACACUGUGACGGAACUACCAGAAAG
This 478-nucleotide ribosomal RNA is filed under the name Streptococcus parasanguinis. Its description in RNAcentral is "bacterial SSU rRNA". It matches the Rfam family "Bacterial small subunit ribosomal RNA", at positions 28 to 490 of the family's 1533-position model. The record is from RNAcentral. Lineage: Bacteria; Bacillati; Bacillota; Bacilli; Lactobacillales; Streptococcaceae.